GGGAGAGCUCUUGGCCGCAGCUCUCCAGUCUGGAUGAGGCUGCCAGAGGGAAGCUACGUGUUCGCCCAUCCACAUUUAUGUCUUGCCCCUUUUCAGGGUUGCUACAUUAACAUGUUCACCUGUGGAGGAAGCACUUACUCUUGAAGGACAAGAUCCACCCCGGUGACGUCGCGCCUCAAGGAUGCGUGGAUCUCCACUAUCCAGUGUGCAGCGGCAGCUUUACUUUCACUUGUAUGUUCCCAAAUACCAGAGACUCUCCAACGACGCCAGAAAAAGUAGAUACUGUAUAUUUGUGGCUAGUCGCUUUUGAUAAAAUAUGUCACCAUGUGGGUUUGGAAUGUCGCCAGAUGUAGCACGGAGGGCUGACACACACAGCAGAGCGAGAAAGACCUCCAUGUCUAGAUACAAGAGAACAGCGCAAAUCCAGUCUAUAUCGAUGUGAAUGAUAUGUUUUUUUAUAUGGUGCCUAAACGAAAUAUAGGUAGAUCAAGGGUACCCUUUGCUGUCUUCAACUUAACUUGAGUAGUAUUUGAAAUUGUUGUUCUAACAAUGUGUACUCUCCCUAUCACUCUGACGUUUAUAGAGUGAGGAAGCUUACCAAACCAUAAAUUAAGCCUGUUCAUGUUUUUAUUCUUGCACUAGCACGGCUAUGUUGUAAAAAAAGUGUCUAUAUUUGGACAUUGAAAUGUUACAUGUAAAGCAUGUCUACUUUUGUUGUGAAAUUAACAAUAUUUUCUCUGAUCAUUUUGUCAUGA
Molecule: long non-coding RNA, 755 nt
Organism: Dunckerocampus dactyliophorus (ringed pipefish)
Lineage: Eukaryota; Metazoa; Chordata; Actinopteri; Syngnathiformes; Syngnathidae
Exons: 3
Source: RefSeq, a predicted model, not a curated record